UACGUAGGGGACGAGCGUUGUCCGGAAUUACUGGGCGUAAAGGGCGCGCAGGCUGUAGAUCAAGUCAGCUGUGAAAUGUCUGGGCUUAACUCGGGCAUGCGGUUGAAACUGAUGUACUGGAGUGCUGUAGAGGCAAGUGGAAUUCCCAGUGUAGCGGUGAAAUGCGUAGAUAUUGGGAAGAACACCGGUGGCGAAGGCGACUUGCUGGGCAGCAACUGACGCUGAGGCGCGAAAGCCAGGGGAGCAAACGGGAUUA
RNAcentral lists this ribosomal RNA (256 nucleotides) under uncultured prokaryote. RNAcentral's name for it is "partial 16S ribosomal RNA". It matches the Rfam family "Bacterial small subunit ribosomal RNA", at positions 524 to 780 of the family's 1533-position model. The record is from RNAcentral.